GGUUAAGCGACUAAGCGUACACGGUGGAUGCCCUGGCAGUCAGAGGCGAUGAAGGACGUGCUAAUCUGCGAAAAGCGUCGGUAAGGUGAUAUGAACCGUUAUAACCGGCGAUGUCCGAAUGGGGAAACCCAGUGCAAUUCGUUGCACUAUCGUUAACUGAAUACAUAGGUUAACGAGGCGAACCGGGGGAACUGAAACAUCUAAGUACCCCGAGGAAAAGAAAUCAACCGAGAUUCCCCCAGUAGCGGCGAGCGAACGGGGAGCAGCCCAGAGUCUGAAUCAGCUUGUGUGUUAGUGGAACGGUCUGGAAAGUCCGACGGUACAGGGUGAUAGUCCCGUACACCAAAAUGCACAGGUUGUGAACUCGAAGAGUAGGGCGGGACACGUGGUAUCCUGUCUGAAUAUGGGGGGACCAUCCUCCAAGGCUAAAUACUCCUGACUGACCGAUAGUGAACCAGUACCGUGAGGGAAAGGCGAAAAGAACCCCGGCGAGGGGAGUGAAAAAGAACCUGAAACCGUGUACGUACAAGCAGUGGGAGCACCUUCGGGUGUGACUGCGUACCUUUUGUAUAAUGGGUCAGCGACUUAUAUUCUGUAGCAAGGUUAACCGUAUAGGGGAGCCGCAGGGAAACCGAGUCUUAACUGGGCGUUAAGUUGCAGGGUAUAGACCCGAAACCCGGUGAUCUAGCCAUGGGCAGGUUGAAGGUUGGGUAACACUAACUGGAGGACCGAACCGACUAAUGUUGAAAAAUUAGCGGAUGACUUGUGGCUGGGGGUGAAAGGCCAAUCAAACCGGGAGAUAGCUGGUUCUCCCCGAAAGCUAUUUAGGUAGCGCCUCGUGAACUCAUCUUCGGGGGUAGAGCACUGUUUCGGCUAGGGGUCAUCCCGACUUACCAACCCGAUGCAAACUACGAAUACCGAAGAAUGUUAUCACGGGAGACACACGGCGGGUGCUAACGUCCGUCGUGAAGAGGGAAACAACCCAGACCGCCAGCUAAGGUCCCAAAGUCAUGGUUAAGUGGGAAACGAUGUGGGAAGGCACAGACAGCCAGGAUGUUGGCUUAGAAGCAGCCAUCAUUUAAAGAAAGCGUAAUAGCUCACUGGUCGAGUCGGCCUGCGCGGAAGAUGUAACGGGGCUAAACCAUGCACCGAAGCUGCGGCAGCGACACUAUGUGUUGUUGGGUAGGGGAGCGUUCUGUAAGCCUGCGAAGGUGUGCUGUGAGGCAUGCUGGAGGUAUCAGAAGUGCGAAUGCUGACAUAAGUAACGAUAAAGCGGGUGAAAAGCCCGCUCGCCGGAAGACCAAGGGUUCCUGUCCAACGUUAAUCGGGGCAGGGUGAGUCGACCCCUAAGGCGAGGCCGAAAGGCGUAGUCGAUGGGAAACAGGUUAAUAUUCCUGUACUUGGUGUUACUGCGAAGGGGGACGGAGAAGGCUAUGUUAGCCGGGCGACGGUUGUCCCGGUUUAAGCAUGUAGGCUGGUUAUCCAGGCAAAUCCGGAUAAUCAAGGCUGAGGUGUGAUGACGAGGCACUACGGUGCUGAAGUAACAAAUGCCCUGCUUCCAGGAAAAGCCUCUAAGCAUCAGGUAACAUCAAAUCGUACCCCAAACCGACACAGGUGGUCAGGUAGAGAAUACCAAGGCGCUUGAGAGAACUCGGGUGAAGGAACUAGGCAAAAUGGUGCCGUAACUUCGGGAGAAGGCACGCUGGUGUGUAGGUGAAGUCCCUGCGGAUGGAGCUGAGACCAGUCGAAGAUACCAGCUGGCUGCAACUGUUUAUUAAAAACACAGCACUGUGCAAACACGAAAGUGGACGUAUACGGUGUGACGCCUGCCCGGUGCCGGAAGGUUAAUUGAUGGGGUUAUCCGUAAGGAGAAGCUCUUGAUCGAAGCCCCGGUAAACGGCGGCCGUAACUAUAACGGUCCUAAGGUAGCGAAAUUCCUUGUCGGGUAAGUUCCGACCUGCACGAAUGGCGUAAUGAUGGCCAGGCUGUCUCCACCCGAGACUCAGUGAAAUUGAACUCGCUGUGAAGAUGCAGUGUACCCGCGGCAAGACGGAAAGACCCCGUGAACCUUUACUAUAGCUUGACACUGAACAUUGAGCCUUGAUGUGUAGGAUAGGUGGGAGGCUUUGAAGCGUGGACGCCAGUCUGCGUGGAGCCAACCUUGAAAUACCACCCUUUAAUGUUUGAUGUUCUAACGUUGGCCCCUGACCGGGGUUGCGGACAGUGUCUGGUGGGUAGUUUGACUGGGGCGGUCUCCUCCCAAAGCGUAACGGAGGAGCACGAAGGUUAGCUAAUCCUGGUCGGACAUCAGGAGGUUAGUGCAAUGGCAUAAGCUAGCUUGACUGCGAGCGUGACGGCGCGAGCAGGUGCGAAAGCAGGUCAUAGUGAUCCGGUGGUUCUGAAUGGAAGGGCCAUCGCUCAACGGAUAAAAGGUACUCCGGGGAUAACAGGCUGAUACCGCCCAAGAGUUCAUAUCGACGGCGGUGUUUGGCACCUCGAUGUCGGCUCAUCACAUCCUGGGGCUGAAGUAGGUCCCAAGGGUAUGGCUGUUCGCCAUUUAAAGUGGUACGCGAGCUGGGUUUAGAACGUCGUGAGACAGUUCGGUCCCUAUCUGCCGUGGGCGCUGGAGAAUUGAGGGGGCUGCUCCUAGUACGAGAGGACCGGAGUGGACGCAUCACUGGUGUUCGGGUUGUCAUGCCAAUGGCACUGCCCGGUAGCUAAAUGCGGAAGAGAUAAGUGCUGAAAGCAUCUAAGCACGAAACUUGCCCCGAGAUGAGUUCUCCCUGAGACUAUAAGUCUCCUGAAGGAACGUUAAAGACGAUGACGUUGAUAGGCCGGGUGUGUAAGCGCAGCGAUGCGUUGAGCUAACCGGUACUAAUGAACCGUGAGGCUUAACCUU
Molecule: ribosomal RNA, 2899 nt
Filed under: Klebsiella pneumoniae
Lineage: Bacteria; Pseudomonadati; Pseudomonadota; Gammaproteobacteria; Enterobacterales; Enterobacteriaceae
Also listed under: 1 other name
Description: 23S ribosomal RNA
Rfam family: Bacterial large subunit ribosomal RNA
Source: RNAcentral